This 350-nucleotide long non-coding RNA is filed under the name Panax ginseng (ginseng). RNAcentral describes it as "long non-coding RNA (PGIN_LNC010341)". The record is from RNAcentral. Lineage: Eukaryota; Viridiplantae; Streptophyta; Magnoliopsida; Apiales; Araliaceae.
UCAGUAUUCCUUCCUUAUCCAUCUUGAAUCUUGAUUCGCUUCCUUCGGAUAUCUUCUUUUUCAUCGUUUUACAUUCGUCAUCGUGAAGUUGAGCCUCCUUAACUUUGUCUAAUAGAGUUGUACCAGAUUGCAUCUGAAACAGCUUCUCGUCAAUCUCCAUAGGACACUUUACUUCUAAUUCCAACUUUUCCAUUGCUGAAAUUAACUCCUUCUGUUCGGUCACCUGCAUCAGUUUCUCCUGACCCUUUCUACUUAAGGCAUCGGCAACCACAUUUGCCUUACCCGGAUGGUAUAGAAUCUCACAAUCGUCCUUAAUUAACUCCAACCACCUUUUUUGGCGCAUGUUUAAG